UCCAAAAUGGCUGUUGCACUGAUCAGACCGGGAUGAGCUACAGUGGAGUUCUAAGAGGCGGGCGGGGGGGGGCCUUUACAGACCCCUCCCCCACGGCCUUUAGGAAGCCCCCCCCCGAAGGGGCUACAGGUUUUAAAAUUUUUUUGGGGGGGAAACACACCAAUAAUUCGUGAAUUGGGGGGGGUAGCAUGGCACUGGCACCCACCCCAAGUGGCACCUAGGGCAUGUGCCCUGGCUGCCCCCACUAGUUUUACCUAUGGAUAUAGGAGAUACUAGUUAUCACCAACAGUGACAAAAAGAACAGCUCCUGUGUUCACCAGGCAUUGGCUUUGGAAGCUUAUGGCAAGGACUAGGCAUGUAGGUGGAACGCAGGUGGAACACAGACUUCACACUUCAUCUACUAGAACUUUCUGACGUGCAUGAUGUGGCUGGAAAACUACUAUUUCAAAAACUCUGAAAUGAUAGACAGUGAUGGUGACAUUGGAGGUGGACUGUGUAUGUUGAAGAUGGAUACUCCAAAAAGAAAAAGAAGUCAAUACAAUUAGUACCAUACUGCAUGUUUAGUAUUACUCAUUGCAUGCACUGACAGAUAUGAAACUGUUAAAAGAAUAUCUACCUAUUUUAACUGCAUUAAAAUGCACGUAUCAUGAAGUAACAAUUGUUUUUUCCAAACAUGAGAAUACAAUCGCUUGAGAAGCCCACCCAAAUGCUAAUGGCCAGGGAAAACAGGCAGUCUCUUAGACAAAAACAAUGUGAAAAGAAUAUUUAUUAACCUGAAGGUCCUACUCCCUUCUGAAUCUUCAAAACAGGAGCACUUUUCAUUAUGCUGCUGCAUUCAGGCUUUGCAUUUCUUUGUUGCACUGUUUACAUUUUGUAUGUAUGCCUAUCUUCCCCACAGGUACAGGAACUUCAUUAAAAUAUUCUCAAAUUGCU
Hemicordylus capensis (graceful crag lizard) is the source of this 933-nucleotide long non-coding RNA. RefSeq lists it as uncharacterized. NCBI's taxonomy places the organism in Eukaryota, Metazoa, Chordata, Lepidosauria, Squamata, Cordylidae. The transcript is spliced from 3 exons. The record is from RefSeq and is a predicted model, not a curated record.